This is a long non-coding RNA of Labrus mixtus (cuckoo wrasse), 2713 nucleotides long. RefSeq lists it as uncharacterized. Lineage: Eukaryota; Metazoa; Chordata; Actinopteri; Labriformes; Labridae. The transcript is spliced from 3 exons. The record is from RefSeq and is a predicted model, not a curated record.
CUAGAGGGAGUCACACACUGAUAAACUUCUAUGGUAUGUCAUGAUGAAGGCUUGAUGUUUCUCAAUUCAGAAAUGAAACUAGUUCAACAGAUGAGUCUCCUCCCAAUGACUGCAGAGGUGUUUGAUGACAGAGAACUGUUUGAUUCCAGCUGUGAACAUCAGACCAAACUCUACUCACAAAACUGAAUCAUACUGAACAUUCAGUUACAGCAUCUCACCUCUACAAACAUGGAACAACUCACUGUUAUUUUGUUCUUCUCAGCUCUCAUAGGUGUCAGCUGUGAAGAACUCACUCCAGUUAAGAAUGAAGAACACAGUUUAGAAGACAGCACCGUCACUCUGUCAUACAGUUACUACAAACAAGCUGAUGGCAAUGAUUAUUUCUUCUGGUAUCAACAAUAUCCAGGAAAACAACCACAGUUCAUCAUGUUCAUCUCAGGGUUGAACAUCACAAAAACAGCAGAACCUCUGAAAUCAGAGAAAAGGUUUUUGACACGACUCUCUGAAAAAAAGGAUCGUGUGGAUCUACAGAUCUCCUCUGCUGCACUGACUGACUCUGCUGUGUACUACUGUGCUCUGAGGCCCACAGUGACAGGAAACACCACAACUCUGUACAAAAACCUCUGGAGAGAAGACAACACAAUACUCCACAACAUCCACUAGAGGGAGCAUCAGACCGAAACAACUCAGCACCAACUCAUACUAGUUCUUCCUUUACAGCACCUCACCUCUGUAAAUGUGGGAGAACUCACAAUGGCCUCCAGUUAAAAACAAGUUCAAGUUCUAAAUAAGGUGUUCCUCUGGCCCCGCCCACUGAGACCAAGGGCCCGUUUCAGAAAGAAGGUUCAACAAACUCUAACUCUGAGCUCUGAGUUGAUUUACCCUCAGGUGGGAAACUCUGAGUUUUGGGUUCCAGAUCAGCUGAUUUGAGUUAAAUCAACUCUGAGUAGGUUCACUCGGUGUUCAGCGCGUGCACCACUACUAUGAAAAGCCAACAUUAAUGGAGCCAUGGCAACAGGUGAGAAAAAAGAGAUCCUCUUACUUUAACCAUCUGGAAAUAUAACCUACUACAUCUUCAUGCAGACACACUACAAAUAUAAACAGGUUUUAAGAAAGAAAGAAAAAGUAACACUGCUGCAGCAGCACAGGAGAGAAAGAAGUGGUGAAGGAGAAAACUGCUGCUCGCAUCAGCAUGUAAUGAAGUCUAUUCAUCUAAUAUUUAAUCAGAAUAAUAGUUCUGCAGGUAAAAACCGGUGUAAUGGUGUUUAAACUAACAUUUAGUGACAUAAAGAUGCAAUUAAUCAGGAGAAAAGCGACUUUAAAAUAGCUCAAAGUGAAAUAGGCUAUAAGAACAAACUAGGCUCAUGGUGGUAGCCAACCUUAUUUUAAUCAUAUUUGACAAAGUAAACUUAGCCUAAUUCAUUUGAAAGUGCAUUAUCAAAUGUUCUUUUUAUACGCUAUAGCCUUCCUAACAUAUCACAUUAAAACAACCUGGAUUUUUAUUCAGACAAAACGGUGAAUCUUCACUAAUACGCACGUGAUACGGACUGAAUGAAAGAAUGAGGAAAACCCAGUUUCCCUCAUGUCAUGGUUAACUGACUCAGUGUUUGUUAAAAACCUGCUUACUGAAACAGGCCCCAGGAUUAAAGUAUUUCAGAAUAUCCAAACAAUUCUUGACAUAAAUAUAAAAUAUCUGAACAGUAUGUCUGAUAUGUUGCUUUUUCAUAUUAAUUCUUUAGGGCAAUUCAUCGAUAGUUUGGUAUCAAAUUUCUGAAUAAAUGAUCCCUGUAAACAUCUAGAAACACAUGAUUGAUUACUGUGUACCACAUGGUUCAACCCUGUGUCCUCAUUUCUUCUUUAUGUGUUGACUUUGAUAUUUUAAAAAUGAUUUGAUCUAUUUUCAUUUGUGUAAUAAUAGUAAGAAUGGAUUAUAUAUAAAUUCAUUAACAUGUGCAUCAGGUUCAGAACAUUUUAAAUGUGUUCCAGUAUGCAGUUCAGAGACGCGUUCCAGGAUGUCACUUCUAGAAUUUCUGCACUACAUUUUUACAAUUCCUCCAGGGGGAGACAUUAUUGAGCAGGUAAUGAACUACUGUGUUCAAACAUUAUAUUAAUACCAGCUGCUGCUGUAAAGAGAACACUUCAACACAGUGAACAUUGAACAUCAGAGAGUUCCUCCUGUUGGUUUAAACCUGGUUUUAGAAAUGGAAAUUUGGCUUUGGAUUAUUCUGGCUGCUCUUUUCUUUGGACUAACAGCUGGAGACAAAAUCUCUCCUACAGUCGAUGAAGUCAGUGGAACAGAAGGAGAAUCUGUCACACUCAGAUGUAACUAUGAGACAACAUCAGAUUAUGUUGAUCUCUACUGGUACAGACAUCAUUCUGACCUCCAGGCACCUCAGUUUAUACUCUGGAAAGGAGCAAAAAGAAGGAGCAAUAACAAAUACAUUCCAGAUAAACGAUAUGAAUCUCAAACAUCACACAGCUCAACUGAACUGACCAUUAGAAAGCUAACCCCUGAAGACACAGCUCUCUACUACUGUGCUUUAGAAACACAGUGAUACAAAGUGUAGAAGAGGCUGUACAAAAACCUGAACACAGAUAUCUGACUACUCUUCAAAGAGGAGGGAAGUGGGAUUCAAACCACAGCUUCAUGUCAGAUGGAUUGUGAUGAUUCCUGUUUGAUCAGAGUCUCUGUGGUUACAGCUGCUGAUGAGAC